UUGAAAGGGAAACGAUUGAAGUCAGUCGUACCUGCGGGUAAUCAGCCUUUUGGGUGUGAUUAUGUGGAGCGUGAGGAGCUAAUCGCCUUCAUCUUUGCAUAUUCGUGCACUUUGGGUGUACUUGCUCGUGUGGUAGGUUAACAUCAAUUUUGAUCGUCAUAAAAUGACUAGAGGAAUGUAGCUUCGAUCUCGUAUUGAAGUGUUAUAGCCUUUGGUAGAUGUGAUGAUUAGGAUUGAGGAUUGCAACGGAUACCCUUCGGGCUACCUGUCUGAUCUCUGAUCGUUGCUCUGGUGCCGAAAGCGUGCUUACGGUUAUCAAAGUCGAUGGUCAAUAGGUUAGAACGGGAUAAAUUCGUUAAGGAUGUUGACGUA
RNAcentral lists this ribosomal RNA (372 nucleotides) under uncultured Glomeromycotina. RNAcentral's name for it is "LSU rRNA". The record is from RNAcentral. Lineage: Eukaryota; Fungi; Glomeromycota.